Molecule: long non-coding RNA, 927 nt
Filed under: Lonchura striata (white-rumped munia)
Lineage: Eukaryota; Metazoa; Chordata; Aves; Passeriformes; Estrildidae
Description: domestica (Bengalese finch) lncRNA (ENSLSDG00000003636.1)
Source: RNAcentral
GGCCGGCAGAGGCCGAGAGAUGAAAUACAAACUAUAAAAUACAAACUAUAAAUUAUACAAUAGAAAACAUAAACUAGAAAAUAGAAAAUAAGAUUUAAAAAUAAAAUAUCAAAUAGAAACUGUAAACCCCCACCUGGGGGACGGGCCAGCAGAGGCCGAAAGUUGAAAUAUAAACUAUAAACUAUAAAACACAAACUAUAAAAUAUAACCUGUACAAUAUCAAAUACACUCCAUACAAUAUCAAAUACAAACUAUGCAAUAUCAAAUAAAAUAUCUCAAAUAUAAGAUAUCAACUAUAAACCCCCACCUGNGGGUCAGUGGCCGGAGUUGGGGUCAGUGGCCGGAGUUGGGGUCAGUGGCCAUGAGGGGUCAGUGGCCGGAGUUGGGGUCAGUGGCCGGAGUUGGGGUCAGUGGCCAUGAGGGGUCAGUGGCCGGAGUUGGGGUCAGUGGCCGGAGUUGGGGGUCAGUGGCCGGAGGGGGGAGGGGCUGGGCAAGCUCAGUGGCCGACACGGCCCAGGGAGCUGUGGGGGGAGGGGAAACACCUGAGACCGAGCCUGAAACUGAGCCCAAAAUCCCAAAACUGAACCCAAAAUCCCCAAAACUGAGCCCAAAAUCCCCGAAACUGAGCCCAAAUCCCUGAAACUGAGCCCAAAUCCCUGAAACUGAGCCCAAAAUCCCUGAAACUGAGCCCAAAAUCCCCAAAACUGAGCCCAAAAUCCCUGAAACUGAGCCCAAAAUCCCCAAAACUGAGCCCAAAAUCCCCGAAACUGAGCCCAAAUCCCCAAAACUGAGCCCAAAUCCCUGAAACUGAGCCCAAAAUCCCCAAACUGAGCCCAAAAUCCCUGAAACUGAGCCCAAAUCCCUGAAACUGAGCCCAAAUCCCUGAAACUGAGCCCAAAAUCCCCAAACUGAGCCCAAAAUCCCUGA